RNAcentral lists this long non-coding RNA (237 nucleotides) under Musa acuminata (dwarf banana). RNAcentral describes it as "long non-coding RNA (MACU_LNC011448)". Lineage: Eukaryota; Viridiplantae; Streptophyta; Magnoliopsida; Zingiberales; Musaceae. The record is from RNAcentral.
UUACGUAAUUACGUAAGAAUUUUCAUUUUAAGAUAAGAACUUUUGCACGAUCAAGAUAGAUCUUUUGACGUGCAUACUCUCAAUGUCGUACACAUGUUUGUGAUAGAUUGUUCAAGUUGGUAAGCCUUGCAAGUUCAUGACAAACUUAGUCAGUUCAUGAUAUAGUUGGAUUCGAAAGUUAUGAACGGAUGAAAUCGAUGGGUUCGAAAAUCCAGAGGAUAUGUGAAGGGAGAAUCA